RNAcentral lists this microRNA precursor (82 nucleotides) under Saimiri boliviensis boliviensis (Bolivian squirrel monkey). RNAcentral's name for it is "miRNA (ENSSBOG00000001684.1)". The record is from RNAcentral. Lineage: Eukaryota; Metazoa; Chordata; Mammalia; Primates; Cebidae.
UUAGGGUGGCACAAAAGUAAUUGUGGUUUUUGCCAUUGAAAGUAAUGGCAAAAACCGCAAUUUCUUUUGCACCAACCUAAUA